RNAcentral lists this transfer RNA (85 nucleotides) under Methanomassiliicoccales archaeon. Its description in RNAcentral is "tRNA-Leu". It matches the Rfam family "tRNA". Rfam says of the family: Transfer RNA (tRNA) molecules are approximately 80 nucleotides in length. Their secondary structure includes four short double-helical elements and three loops (D, anti-codon, and T loops). Lineage: Archaea; Methanobacteriati; Thermoplasmatota; Thermoplasmata; Methanomassiliicoccales. The record is from RNAcentral. RNAcentral also lists the same sequence under 1 other name.
GCGGGGGUAGCCAAGCCUGGCCAAAGGCGCAAGAUUGAGGGUCUUGUCUCGUAGGGGUCCAAGGGUUCAAAUCCCUUCCCCCGCA